RNAcentral lists this transfer RNA (87 nucleotides) under Prosthecochloris sp. ZM_2. RNAcentral's name for it is "tRNA-Ser". It matches the Rfam family "tRNA". Rfam says of the family: Transfer RNA (tRNA) molecules are approximately 80 nucleotides in length. The record is from RNAcentral. Lineage: Bacteria; Pseudomonadati; Chlorobiota; Chlorobiia; Chlorobiales; Chlorobiaceae.
GGAGAGGUGCCAGAGUGGUUGAAUGGGGCGGUCUCGAAAACCGUUGUACGAGCAUUCGUACCGAGGGUUCGAAUCCCUCCCUCUCCG